Molecule: long non-coding RNA, 914 nt
Filed under: Mus spretus (western wild mouse)
Lineage: Eukaryota; Metazoa; Chordata; Mammalia; Rodentia; Muridae
Description: predicted gene, 31739 (ENSMSPG00010008727.1)
Source: RNAcentral
AGAGUCUAGUGCCAGCACAUACCCAGACUGUGUGAUCCCAUUUCUCGUUGGAAUGAACAUGGAAAACAACUAAGUUUCCAGAGAUGGCUUCAUCUUCUUGAUUCAUAUUUUGCCAUAUUUUAUGAAUUUCCAAUUUUUUUUAGACUUCAUAUAAUUGGCAUUUAAAUGAGAUUCCAGAUCUGAAACUCAUCCUCCUUGGACUGAACUGACCUCCGGAGGUUUUCCACAGCUUUGGACAAAUCACUCAGAGGACUCCAGUGGUCAUGAUUAAAUGUUGACAGAUGUGGGAAUGGAUGUCAGGGCUUAGCAUUUUCAGGAAAUACGAGGCUAUUUUCUAACAUGGCUGCACCUUGUACAGUAGAGUCCUGGCAGUGUCACCAGCACACAUAGCUCAAAGCCAGUAGCAUCACUGCCACCAACAAGGACCUAAAUGAGACUGUACAAUAGUUGUCUUCUUGAACUAUAUUUCACAUGCCAUUUCCUUCAAUUUUGUCUGCCUAUGGGAUUCCCUUGGAUUGCUGAAUAGUUAUUCACAUGUAUACACAUAUCACAUUUUGUUUAUCAGUCCUGGAAAUGAUUCUUAACUAUGACAUGAAAACCAUAGCAACAAAAGGAGAAGAAAGUGAAGCAACGCCAGAGCAAAAAUCCCCUGUGCGGUCAUCAAGCAAGCAAAGGUUCCCGUCUUGAAGGGUUGAAAAGUCAUCCUGGUGCAAGUAUAAAUUCUAUGAGCCCUAGAUGGAAAAGAAGCCACUAUGACCUGUCACCUGAAGAAGGAGGCAACAAGGCUUGAUUUGUUGCAUCUUACACUUGACAAUUGUAAGCACUGACAUCCAGGUUCAUCUCAGAAAUUUUCCAAACUAACACACGAUAGGUGAACAUUUCUUACAACUUGGAAUAAAUCCUUGUUUGCUGUC